RNAcentral lists this ribosomal RNA (832 nucleotides) under Kocuria sp. E17-2. RNAcentral's name for it is "16S ribosomal RNA". Lineage: Bacteria; Bacillati; Actinomycetota; Actinomycetes; Micrococcales; Micrococcaceae. The record is from RNAcentral.
CGGUACUCNCAGGCGGGGCACUUAAUGCGUUAGUACGGCGCGGAAAACGUGGAAUGUCCCCCACACCUAGUGCCCAACGUUUACGGCAUGGACUACCAGGGUAUCUAAUCCUGUUCGCUCCCCAUGCUUUCGCUCCUCAGCGUCAGUAACAGCCCAGAGACCUGCCUUCGCCAUCGGUGUUCCUCCUGAUAUCUGCGCAUUCCACCGCUACACCAGGAAUUCCAGUCUCCCCUACUGCACUCUAGUCUGCCCGUACCCACUGCACACCCGGGGUUAAGCCCCGGGCUUUCACAGCAGACGCGACAAACCGCCUACGAGCUCUUUACGCCCAAUAAUUCCGGACAACGCUUGCGCCCUACGUAUUACCGCGGCUGCUGGCACGUAGUUAGCCGGCGCUUCUUCUGCAGGUACCGUCACUUGUGGCUUCUUCCCUGCUGAAAGAGGUUUACAACCCGAAGCCGUCAUCCCUCACGCGGCGUCGCUGCAUCAGGCUUUCGCCCAUUGUGCAAUAUUCCCCACUGCUGCCUCCCGUAGAGUCUGGGCCGUGUCUCAGUCCCAGUGUGGCCGGUCACCCUCUCAGGCCGGCUACCCGUCGUCGCCUUGGUGAGCCAUUACCUCACCAACAAGCUGAUAGGCCGUGAGCCCAUCCAAGACCAGUAAACCCUUUCCACACACCACCAUGCGGUGACAUGUAGCAUCCAGUAUUAGACCCAGUUUCCCGGGCUUAUCCCAGAGUCAAGGGCAGGUUACUCACGUAUUACUCACCCGUUCGCCACUCAUCCACACCAGCAAGCUGGUGCUUCAGCGUUCGACUUGCAUGUGUUAAGCACGC